CUCGUAGGCGGUUCGUCGCGUCCGGUGUGAAAGCCCAUCGCUUAACGGUGGAUCUGCGCCGGGUACGGGCGGGCUGGAGUGCGGUAGGGGAGACUGGAAUUCCCGGUGUAACGGUGGAAUGUGUAGAUAUCGGGAAGAACACCAAUGGCGAAGGCAGGUCUCUGGGCCGUUACUGACGCUGAGGAGCGAAAGCGUGGGGAGCGAACA
This 207-nucleotide ribosomal RNA is filed under the name uncultured bacterium. RNAcentral's name for it is "partial 16S ribosomal RNA". It matches the Rfam family "Bacterial small subunit ribosomal RNA", at positions 568 to 774 of the family's 1533-position model. The record is from RNAcentral.